AGCAAAAUGAUGAAGUAACAUGCUCUGAAUGCAAUGUGGAAAAUGGAAACACAAUGGUCUUCAAAGUUCUCUGAUUGCU
Small nucleolar RNA from Magnolia sinica, 79 nucleotides. RefSeq annotates it as small nucleolar RNA R160. The transcript has a single exon. NCBI's taxonomy places the organism in Eukaryota, Viridiplantae, Streptophyta, Magnoliopsida, Magnoliales, Magnoliaceae. The record is from RefSeq and is a predicted model, not a curated record.